AGAGUUUGAUCCUGGCUCAGGAUGAACGCUAGCUACAGGCUUAACACAUGCAAGUCGAGGGGCAGCAUGGUCUUAGCUUGCUAAGGCCAAUGGCGACCGGCGCACGGGUGAGUAACACGUAUCCAACCUGCCGUCUACUCUUGGACAGCCUUCUGAAAGGAAGAUUAAUACAAGAUGGCAUCAUGAGUCCACAUGUUCACAUGAUUAAAGGUAUUCCGGUAGACGAUGGGGAUGCGUUCCAUUAGAUAGUAGGCGGGGUAACGGCCCACCUAGUCUUCGAUGGAUAGGGGUUCUGAGAGGAAGGUCCCCCACAUUGGAACUGAGACACGGUCCAAACUCCUACGGGAGGCAGCAGUGAGGAAUAUUGGUCAAUGGGCGAGAGCCUGAACCAGCCAAGUAGCGUGAAGGAUGACUGCCCUAUGGGUUGUAAACUUCUUUUAUAAAGGAAUAAAGUCGGGUAUGCAUACCCGUUUGCAUGUACUUUAUGAAUAAGGAUCGGCUAACUCCGUGCCAGCAGCCGCGGUAAUACGGAGGAUCCGAGCGUUAUCCGGAUUUAUUGGGUUUAAAGGGAGCGUAGAUGGAUGUUUAAGUCAGUUGUGAAAGUUUGCGGCUCAACCGUAAAAUUGCAGUUGAUACUGGAUAUCUUGAGUGCAGUUGAGGCAGGCGGAAUUCGUGGUGUAGCGGUGAAAUGCUUAGAUAUCACGAAGAACUCCGAUUGCGAAGGCAGCCUGCUAAGCUGCAACUGACAUUGAGGCUCGAAAGUGUGGGUAUCAAACAGGAUUAGAUACCCUGGUAGUCCACACGGUAAACGAUGAAUACUCGCUGUUUGCGAUAUACGGCAAGCGGCCAAGCGAAAGCGUUAAGUAUUCCACCUGGGGAGUACGCCGGCAACGGUGAAACUCAAAGGAAUUGACGGGGGCCCGCACAAGCGGAGGAACAUGUGGUUUAAUUCGAUGAUACGCGAGGAACCUUACCCGGGCUUAAAUUGCAGAUGAAUUACGGUGAAAGCCGUAAGCCGCAAGGCAUCUGUGAAGGUGCUGCAUGGUUGUCGUCAGCUCGUGCCGUGAGGUGUCGGCUUAAGUGCCAUAACGAGCGCAACCCUUGUUGUCAGUUACUAACAGGUCAUGCUGAGGACUCUGACAAGACUGCCAUCGUAAGAUGUGAGGAAGGUGGGGAUGACGUCAAAUCAGCACGGCCCUUACGUCCGGGGCUACACACGUGUUACAAUGGGGGGUACAGAGGGUCGCUACCACGCGAGUGGAUGCCAAUCCCCAAAACCUCUCUCAGUUCGGACUGGAGUCUGCAACCCGACUCCACGAAGCUGGAUUCGCUAGUAAUCGCGCAUCAGCCACGGCGCGGUGAAUACGUUCCCGGGCCUUGUACACACCGCCCGUCAAGCCAUGGGAGCCGGGGGUACCUGAAGUGCGUAACCGCGAGGAGCGCCCUAGGGUAAAACUGGUGACUGGGGCUAAGUCGUAACAAGGUAGCCGUACCGGAAGGUGCGGCUGGAACACCU
RNAcentral lists this ribosomal RNA (1516 nucleotides) under Phocaeicola vulgatus dnLKV7. RNAcentral describes it as "bacterial SSU rRNA". It matches the Rfam family "Bacterial small subunit ribosomal RNA". Lineage: Bacteria; Pseudomonadati; Bacteroidota; Bacteroidia; Bacteroidales; Bacteroidaceae. The record is from RNAcentral.